This 465-nucleotide ribosomal RNA is filed under the name uncultured bacterium. RNAcentral's name for it is "partial 16S ribosomal RNA". It matches the Rfam family "Bacterial small subunit ribosomal RNA", at positions 338 to 795 of the family's 1533-position model. The record is from RNAcentral.
CCUAGGGGUGGCAGCAGUAGGGAAUCUUCCACAAUGGGCGAAAGCCUGAUGGAGCAACGCCGCGUGGGUGAAGAAGGUCUUCGGAUCGUAAAACCCUGUUGUUAGAGAAGAAAGAGCGUGAGAGUAACUGUUCACGUGUCGACGGUAGCUAACCAGAAAGCUACGGCUAACUACGUGCCAGCAGUAGCGGUAAUACGUAGGUGGCAAGCGUUAUCCGGAUUGAUUGGGAGUAAAGGGUACGGAGGCGGGCUUUUAAGUCUGAUGUGAAAGCCUUCGGCUUAACCCGAGUAGUGCAUUGGAAACUGGGGACCUUGAGUGCAGGAGAGGAUAGUGGAACGCCAUGUGUAGCGGUGAAAUGCGUAGAUAUAUGGAAGAACACCAGUGGCGAAGGCGGCUCUCUGGUCUGUAACUGACGCUGAGGUUCGAAAGCGUGGGUAGCGAACAGGAUUAGAUACCCUAGUAGUC